UACAGCCCUACCGCUUUGGGUGGUGCUUGGAGGACCUCCAACCCCACUUCCAUUGUUGAAAGCUGGAAGACCUACACCCCCACUUCUGUAGGUGCUUGGAGAACCUACGACCCUACCACCCUUGUCAGCAGUAGGAGGAUCUCCAGCCCCAUAUCCACUGGUGAUGCUUGGAGGACCUCCAACCCCACUUCCAUGGGGGAUGGCUGGAGGACCUCCAACCCCACUGCUGUUUGUGGUGCUUGGAGGACCUACAUCCCCACUUCCAUGGGGGAUGGCUGAAGGACCUCCAAACCCACUGCUGUUUGUGGUGCUUGGAAGACCUACAACCCCACUUCCAUCAGGGAUGGCGGAAGGACCUCCAACCCCACUGCCACUCAUGGUGCUUGGAGGACCUUCACCCCCCCCCCACUUCUAUGGGUGCUUGAAGAACCUACAACCCCACUUCCAUCAGUGGUUCUUGGAGGACCUCCGACGCCACUUCCAUGGGGGAUGGCUGGAGGACCUCCAACCCCACAUCCAUUGGUGGUUCUCGGAGAACCUCCAACCCCAAAUCUAUUGGUGGUUCUUGGAGGACCUCCAACCCCACAUCCAUCCGUGGUUCUCAGAGGACCUCCAACCCCACAUCCAUCCGCAAUUCUCGGAGAACCUCCCACCCCACUUCCAUGGAGGAUGGCUGGAGGACCUCCAACCCCACAUCCAUCCGUGGUUCUCAGAGGACCUCCAACCCCACCUCCAUGGGGGACGGCUGGAGGACCUCCAACCUCACAUCUAUUGGCGGUUCUUGGAGGGCCUAGACCCUCCCAAUUCUAUGGGUGCUUGGAGGACCUCCAACCCCACUUCCAUGGGGGAUGUCUGGAGGACCUCCAACCCCACAUCCAUCCAUGGUUCUUGGAGGACCUCCCACCCUACAUCCAUCCGUGGUUCUCGGAGAACCUCCAACCCCACUUCCAUGGGGGAUGUCUGGAGGACCUCCAACCCCACAUCCAUCCGUGGUUCUCGGAGAACCUCCAACCCCACUUCCAUGGGGGGCUUCCCGAGGGACCCUCCGCCCCCCGGGACCAGCCCGGACGCCCCGCACGGGCGCAGCGGGGACUCACUUGAGGGUGUCGGGGUCGGCGGUGCCGGUGACGGCGAGCCCGUAGAAGCGCUGCAUGGCGGCGAGGGCGGCCGAGAGCGACUGGGGCGAGCGCUGCGUGUGGGUGCGCAGGUCGCCGGGGGGCAGGUAGCCGUAUUGCUGCAGCCAGGCCUGCGGCCGCGGGGG
RNAcentral lists this long non-coding RNA (1261 nucleotides) under Apteryx haastii (Great spotted kiwi). Its description in RNAcentral is "lncRNA (ENSAHAG00000001772.1)". Lineage: Eukaryota; Metazoa; Chordata; Aves; Apterygiformes; Apterygidae. The record is from RNAcentral.